UACGAAGGGGGCUAGCGUUGCUCGGAAUCACUGGGCGUAAAGGGUGCGUAGGCGGUUCUUUAAGUCAGGGGUGAAAUCCUGGAGCUCAACUCCAGAACUGCCUUUGAUACUGAAGAUCUUGAGUUCGGGAGAGGUGAGUGGAACUGCGAGUGUAGAGGUGAAAUUCGUAGAUAUCGGGAGGAACACCGGUGGCGAAGGCGGCGACCUGGGUCGAGACUGACGCUGAGGCGCGAAAGCGUGGGGAGCAAACAGG
This 253-nucleotide ribosomal RNA is filed under the name uncultured bacterium. RNAcentral's name for it is "partial 16S ribosomal RNA". It matches the Rfam family "Bacterial small subunit ribosomal RNA", at positions 524 to 776 of the family's 1533-position model. The record is from RNAcentral.